GCUCUCUUUUGCAUAGCCAAUUUUGGUUAUAAUUUACCAACUUCCUUUAGUUGAACAGUUUAAAAUCAAUUUAAGAUUACAGCUGUAUAGUUCUAUUCAUCUACUUAGACAUAAAUCUUCCCACAAAUUAUAAAUAGUACUAACAAUUAAACGGAGUAUUGCUUCAAAUUCUCAUCAAUGCCAAGGACCAACGCAUAAUUAAUCUUUCUUAUGAGUGGCAUCAGCCAUUGCCCCAAAUGCAAUGCCUGACUAGCUUGCCUUUCUUCUCUACAUGACAUGCACCAUCACCAAUCCUCUUUGCAGUAAUCAUCUCUACUUGUAUUCUGAUUCAGAGGGUACACAGAGAGUAGAAGGGGCCUGGAACGCAUUGCUGGUGGUAGCGGAGGAAACAUAUACGAUAAUAGAAUUUGAGUGGCUUUCAGAGAGGCGCAUGGAAGUGCAUGGAACAGAGGCAUAUGGAUCAUAUUCAGGCAGAAUUGCGAGUAGAUGGAGAAUAGUUUUUGCCUGGAAGCCAAGAAUUACAAAUAAAAAUGUGAACCUAUCUCUGAACUUUUUAUGAACUCAAGAUGCUCCAAAACAGUUUUGCAAUGGAGGAAUCAGUUUUUGAAUUAUAGUUACUGACAAACACAGAAGCCAAUUUAUAAAUGGCAAUGGACCACAAAUAAGCAAGAAAUAUGACCAAGUAAUUACUUAAAUGUGAUGGGAAAGCACAACCCCCCAAGCCUUUCUACUUGUCACUUUAAUUUCAUGUUUCACAUAUUUUGUGUUUUUUUAUGUUGGCAGAUCAAUUUCCCCCCUGGGUUAAAUAAAGUUCUAUCGUAUAGUA
Long non-coding RNA from Leucoraja erinaceus (little skate), 826 nucleotides. RefSeq lists it as uncharacterized. The record is from RefSeq and is a predicted model, not a curated record. The transcript has 2 exons. NCBI's taxonomy places the organism in Eukaryota, Metazoa, Chordata, Chondrichthyes, Rajiformes, Rajidae.